This 457-nucleotide long non-coding RNA is filed under the name Arachis ipaensis. RNAcentral describes it as "long non-coding RNA (AIPA_LNC000706)". The record is from RNAcentral. Lineage: Eukaryota; Viridiplantae; Streptophyta; Magnoliopsida; Fabales; Fabaceae.
AGAAGGACAUGCCGAGGUGGGGUUCUAAUGUGCCUAAUUUGGAAGAGUGGGAAGCGUUAAAACAUCAAGCCGAGGACAAGUCGAAUUCCAAUUCAAGGAUCCUUCCUUUGAGGGACUUAAACCUGAACGUUGUUUCUCAAGAAGGUCACUUAGAAGAUGGUUCAGCGAAACAGAAAAGUGAAACUUCCUCGGAUCAAGUAAGCCUAAGAAAUAUUAGCCUAAGAAAUAUCAACCUAAGAAAAAGGAGAUAAAUAUUGAAGGGAAGAUCAUGGUGGCUGCUGGAAUUGAUGCAUCCCAAGGAUAAGUUGAUGGCGACGAGGGUGAUUGGAUUCUUACUGUCAGCCGAAGUACUCAUAGGAGAUUUCUAAGAAGGAAAGCUAGACGUGAGUUCUAUGACACAUUAUCUAGUAAUCAAGAUCAGCAAGAUUUGGAAGAAAAUGUCGAUGAUGUUACUGAA